UCUCCGUAGGUGAACCUGCGGAGGGAUCAUUAACGAGUUCCCCGUACCGGGUAGGAUUCCCACCCUAUGUUAUCAUUAUCUCUGUUGCUUUGGCGGGCCGCCCGGCCUCGGUCAGGCUACCGGCUCCGGCUGGUAAGCGCCCGCCAGAGGACCCCAAACUCUGAAUAUUAGUGUCGUCUGAGUACUAUAUAAUAGUUAAAACUUUCAACAACGGAUCUCUUGGUUCUG
Molecule: unclassified non-coding RNA, 228 nt
Filed under: plant metagenome
Description: partial contains small subunit ribosomal RNA, internal transcribed spacer 1, and 5.8S ribosomal RNA
Source: RNAcentral